RNAcentral lists this ribosomal RNA (409 nucleotides) under Nembrotha purpureolineata. Its description in RNAcentral is "partial 16S ribosomal RNA". It matches the Rfam family "Archaeal large subunit ribosomal RNA", at positions 1921 to 2666 of the family's 2987-position model. The record is from RNAcentral. Lineage: Eukaryota; Metazoa; Mollusca; Gastropoda; Nudibranchia; Polyceridae.
AGCUUAAAGAUAUUUAUUUUAAGUUAAACCUGCCCAGUGUUGUUUUAAUAAAUGGCCGCGGUACUCUGACCGUGCUAAGGUAGCGCAAUCAAUUGGUUUUUAAUUGGAGCCAGGUAUGAAUGGAGUUACGGAGUCUUUCUGUCUCCUGGCUAAUUUAUCGAAGUUACUAUAUAGGUGAAAAAGCCUAUAAAAAGAAAAAAGACGAGAAGACCCUUAGAGUUUUUUUUCAAAGAAGUUUUGUUGGGGCAACAAAGGAACAAAUUUCCAUCUACCGAUUAUUUUAAAUUUGAAUAAACUACCUUAGGGAUAACAGCAUAAUUUUAUAAAUAAGUUUGUGACCUCGAUGUUGGACUGGGAAACUAAAGGGCUAGCCGCCUUUUAGGUGAGUUCUGUUCGAACUAUUAUUCCC